Molecule: ribosomal RNA, 138 nt
Filed under: uncultured eukaryote
Lineage: Eukaryota
Description: partial 18S ribosomal RNA
Rfam family: Eukaryotic small subunit ribosomal RNA
Source: RNAcentral
UGGUGGAGUGAUUUGUCUGGUUAAUUCCGAUAACGAACGAGACCUUAACCUGCUAAAUAGACCAGCCGACUUUGGUUAGCUGCUGUCUUCUUAGAGGGACUAUCAGCGUUAAGCUGAUGGAAGUUUGAGGCAAUAACA